This 2921-nucleotide ribosomal RNA is filed under the name Staphylococcus aureus. RNAcentral describes it as "bacterial LSU rRNA". It matches the Rfam family "Bacterial large subunit ribosomal RNA". Lineage: Bacteria; Bacillati; Bacillota; Bacilli; Caryophanales; Staphylococcaceae. The record is from RNAcentral.
UUAAGUUAUUAAGGGCGCACGGUGGAUGCCUUGGCACUAGAAGCCGAUGAAGGACGUUACUAACGACGAUAUGCUUUGGGGAGCUGUAAGUAAGCUUUGAUCCAGAGAUUUCCGAAUGGGGAAACCCAGCAUGAGUUAUGUCAUGUUAUCGAUAUGUGAAUACAUAGCAUAUCAGAAGGCACACCCGGAGAACUGAAACAUCUUAGUACCCGGAGGAAGAGAAAGAAAAUUCGAUUCCCUUAGUAGCGGCGAGCGAAACGGGAAGAGCCCAAACCAACAAGCUUGCUUGUUGGGGUUGUAGGACACUCUAUACGGAGUUACAAAGGACGACAUUAGACGAAUCAUCUGGAAAGAUGAAUCAAAGAAGGUAAUAAUCCUGUAGUCGAAAAUGUUGUCUCUCUUGAGUGGAUCCUGAGUACGACGGAGCACGUGAAAUUCCGUCGGAAUCUGGGAGGACCAUCUCCUAAGGCUAAAUACUCUCUAGUGACCGAUAGUGAACCAGUACCGUGAGGGAAAGGUGAAAAGCACCCCGGAAGGGGAGUGAAAUAGAACCUGAAACCGUGUGCUUACAAGUAGUCAGAGCCCGUUAAUGGGUGAUGGCGUGCCUUUUGUAGAAUGAACCGGCGAGUUACGAUUUGAUGCAAGGUUAAGCAGUAAAUGUGGAGCCGUAGCGAAAGCGAGUCUGAAUAGGGCGUUUAGUAUUUGGUCGUAGACCCGAAACCAGGUGAUCUACCCUUGGUCAGGUUGAAGUUCAGGUAACACUGAAUGGAGGACCGAACCGACUUACGUUGAAAAGUGAGCGGAUGAACUGAGGGUAGCGGAGAAAUUCCAAUCGAACCUGGAGAUAGCUGGUUCUCUCCGAAAUAGCUUUAGGGCUAGCCUCAAGUGAUGAUUAUUGGAGGUAGAGCACUGUUUGGACGAGGGGCCCCUCUCGGGUUACCGAAUUCAGACAAACUCCGAAUGCCAAUUAAUUUAACUUGGGAGUCAGAACAUGGGUGAUAAGGUCCGUGUUCGAAAGGGAAACAGCCCAGACCACCAGCUAAGGUCCCAAAAUAUAUGUUAAGUGGAAAAGGAUGUGGCGUUGCCCAGACAACUAGGAUGUUGGCUUAGAAGCAGCCAUCAUUUAAAGAGUGCGUAAUAGCUCACUAGUCGAGUGACACUGCGCCGAAAAUGUACCGGGGCUAAACAUAUUACCGAAGCUGUGGAUUGUCCUUUGGACAAUGGUAGGAGAGCGUUCUAAGGGCGUUGAAGCAUGAUCGUAAGGACAUGUGGAGCGCUUAGAAGUGAGAAUGCCGGUGUGAGUAGCGAAAGACGGGUGAGAAUCCCGUCCACCGAUUGACUAAGGUUUCCAGAGGAAGGCUCGUCCGCUCUGGGUUAGUCGGGUCCUAAGCUGAGGCCGACAGGCGUAGGCGAUGGAUAACAGGUUGAUAUUCCUGUACCACCUAUAAUCGUUUUAAUCGAUGGGGGGACGCAGUAGGAUAGGCGAAGCGUGCGAUUGGAUUGCACGUCUAAGCAGUAAGGCUGAGUAUUAGGCAAAUCCGGUACUCGUUAAGGCUGAGCUGUGAUGGGGAGAAGACAUUGUGUCUUCGAGUCGUUGAUUUCACACUGCCGAGAAAAGCCUCUAGAUAGAAAAUAGGUGCCCGUACCGCAAACCGACACAGGUAGUCAAGAUGAGAAUUCUAAGGUGAGCGAGCGAACUCUCGUUAAGGAACUCGGCAAAAUGACCCCGUAACUUCGGGAGAAGGGGUGCUCUUUAGGGUUAACGCCCAGAAGAGCCGCAGUGAAUAGGCCCAAGCGACUGUUUAUCAAAAACACAGGUCUCUGCUAAACCGUAAGGUGAUGUAUAGGGGCUGACGCCUGCCCGGUGCUGGAAGGUUAAGAGGAGUGGUUAGCUUCUGCGAAGCUACGAAUCGAAGCCCCAGUAAACGGCGGCCGUAACUAUAAAGGUCCUAAGGUAGCGAAAUUCCUUGUCGGGUAAGUUCCGACCCGCACGAAAGGCGUAACGAUUUGGGCACUGUCUCAACGAGAGACUCGGUGAAAUCAUAGUACCUGUGAAGAUGCAGGUUACCCGCGACAGGACGGAAAGACCCCGUGGAGCUUUACUGUAGCCUGAUAUUGAAAUUCGGCACAGCUUGUACAGGAUAGGUAGGAGCCUUUGAAACGUGAGCGCUAGCUUACGUGGAGGCGCUGGUGGGAUACUACCCUAGCUGUGUUGGCUUUCUAACCCGCACCACUUAUCGUGGUGGGAGACAGUGUCAGGCGGGCAGUUUGACUGGGGCGGUCGCCUCCUAAAAGGUAACGGAGGCGCUCAAAGGUUCCCUCAGAAUGGUUGGAAAUCAUUCAUAGAGUGUAAAGGCAUAAGGGAGCUUGACUGCGAGACCUACAAGUCGAGCAGGGUCGAAAGACGGACUUAGUGAUCCGGUGGUUCCGCAUGGAAGGGCCAUCGCUCAACGGAUAAAAGCUACCCCGGGGAUAACAGGCUUAUCUCCCCCAAGAGUUCACAUCGACGGGGAGGUUUGGCACCUCGAUGUCGGCUCAUCGCAUCCUGGGGCUGUAGUCGGUCCCAAGGGUUGGGCUGUUCGCCCAUUAAAGCGGUACGCGAGCUGGGUUCAGAACGUCGUGAGACAGUUCGGUCCCUAUCCGUCGUGGGCGUAGGAAAUUUGAGAGGAGCUGUCCUUAGUACGAGAGGACCGGGAUGGACAUACCUCUGGUGUACCAGUUGUCGUGCCAACGGCAUAGCUGGGUAGCUAUGUGUGGACGGGAUAAGUGCUGAAAGCAUCUAAGCAUGAAGCCCCCCUCAAGAUGAGAUUUCCCAACUUCGGUUAUAAGAUCCCUCAAAGAUGAUGAGGUUAAUAGGUUCGAGGUGGAAGCAUGGUGACAUGUGGAGCUGACGAAUACUAAUCGAUCGAAGACUUAAUCAA